Molecule: unclassified non-coding RNA, 304 nt
Filed under: plant metagenome
Description: partial contains 5.8S ribosomal RNA, internal transcribed spacer 2, and large subunit ribosomal RNA
Rfam family: 5.8S ribosomal RNA (bases 1-105)
Source: RNAcentral
GAAAUGCGAUAAGUAGUGUGAAUUGCAGAAUUCAGUGAAUCAUCGAAUCUUUGAACGCACAUUGCGCCCUUUGGUAUUCCUUAGGGCAUGCCUGUUCGAGCGUCAUCUAACCUUCAAGCCCUGCUUGGUGUUGGGUGCCUGUCCCGCCUCCGCGCGCGGACUCACCUCAAAUCCAUUGGCGGCCCCCGCGUCGGCCACGAGCGCAGCAGAAACGCGAACUCGUGAGCCCGUCCGGGCGGCUCCCAGAAGCUACACCCACCCAGUUUGACCUCGGAUCAGGUAGGGAUACCCGCUGAACUUAAGC